GGAAGGAACCCAUCCUUCUCUAGGACCCAGGGGAAUUCAGGAGCCCUGGCCGCCUCCCACUCGGUUUUCCCUCCCAGCUCUCUGGGCCCCUUCCCCUGUGGUUCCCUGGGGAAUUGGAAAUAGCAGAGCUGCAAUAACAGUCUGGGCACAGAGGCAAGUCUCCAUGGAGGCAGGAAGCCCCCUAGAUCCCCCUCAGCCACCCGCCCGGCCAUCUCCUGGUUUUCCUGACUUUCUCCCCCUCUCAAGAGGCAGGCGGGGCUGCGGCCUGCUGAAGGGGUAACCUCGCCUGUUCCCACCCGGACCCCUCUGGCCCAGGGCUCCGGAGCUGGUAGAGGCCCAGCUGAUCCUCAGUCCAGGCAGGAAGAGAGGGGAUCUCAUCCCGGGGCCUUCCUCAGUGAAGGGAUUGUGCAGAAACUGCCGUCUGGGGCCUGCUGAGCGGGAGAGCCCCUUCUGUCAAGAAAAGCAUGCAAAGUGUAAAGUUUGAUGAACGAUCCCAGAGUGAAGACACCCAUGGAACUACCACCUAGAUCGAGAAAUGGAACAUCACAGCAGCUGGCAACUUCCGGCAGGAAGCUCCUUGAAGUUCUGCUUAUGUCAGCACUUGGCUACAUCUAAAAUGAUUUUUCUUCAACAAGAUUUUUGAUGACUGAAUUCUAUGUUUAGAUCAUAAUUUAACUAGUAACCUCCCUUUGUUGGUUUCAUUUUACUUUCUUAGCUCUUAUAAACGAGGCUGUAAUAAGCAACCUUGCACGUAAA
Molecule: long non-coding RNA, 756 nt
Organism: Felis catus (domestic cat)
Lineage: Eukaryota; Metazoa; Chordata; Mammalia; Carnivora; Felidae
Exons: 2
Source: RefSeq, a predicted model, not a curated record